UGCGAACGAGAGAUCUUUUCCUUUUGGAAAAGCGAUUAAAACGAAAGAAACAAACCAAUCAAAAAGUGCCUAAAUUAAAAACGUCCGGCGCUGCCCCGAGCGUCUCCUCGGGAUGUGCCGUCCAAGAGAGAUCGCAUUAGGGACAGAGCUGGAAGUGCGGCCAUAAAUACCCCUCCGGAUUUGUUCAGCGCCGAAUAAAUCUGACUUAACCAUCCGGCAGCUGACUCCGGCGCUUUAAUUACAGAUAGUAUUGAUCUGGAGCUAUCUCUAGGGCUGGCCACACUCCUCGUAGCGGCCAAAGGUAAACAAUUUUUUUUUUUUUUUUUUUUUUAAAGCAGUUUAAACUCUGGUUCUGUCUGAAAGUGCCUGAUAAAGGCCCCAGCGAGGGGGGGAAAGGGAACGGGAGCAUUUUAAUAAGCUGGUUUAACCCGCUUCGCUGCCUCUUCAGAACAGAGCGCUGCCUGGCCGGACACACAUCUCUACUGCAUUUUCAUAUUCUCCAAAAGUCCCCCAUCAAAAAGCUGAGCGGGGAACAAGGGCUCUGUACCAAUCGCGGGAUGAUUGCGACAAACAAUCCGGUGAGAGAAACCCCUCAUUUCGUUGCGGGAGGCGAUGGCCGUUCUCCACCAGAGUGGAGCCGCUCCGCUCCCCCCGGUGCCACGUUCGGGGCAGCCGGGAAAGGAGACCCGCAGAUUUGUUUUACGAAACUUAAAAGCAGAACCGGACCCACUGCGGGAGAAACCGGCUCACCCCUGGCAGAAGACUUUGCCAUUAGCAAAGGGUUAAAGCGGGGGGGGGGGAGGGGGGGUUAUUCAUCUUGCGCCAUAGAUUUGGUUCUUUCCCCGCUGAGGUUGUUCUCCACCGGGUAGCUCCGGUCUCCUCCCGCUGCGCGGCUCUCCGCAGCCCCAUCUCCUCGGGGCGCCCCUGCGCCGGCCUUUGAGUUUCCCUUCUCUCUUUGGGCCAGGGCCGGGCUACGGCGGGGACCCUCACCCCUCCAGCCCUCUCCUCUGCCUCUCUUCCCCCGUACGUUUGCAUUAAAACAUCCGUCCUGGGUUUAA
This is a long non-coding RNA of Tympanuchus pallidicinctus (lesser prairie-chicken), 1058 nucleotides long. RefSeq lists it as uncharacterized. NCBI's taxonomy places the organism in Eukaryota, Metazoa, Chordata, Aves, Galliformes, Phasianidae. The record is from RefSeq and is a predicted model, not a curated record. The transcript has 3 exons.